Long non-coding RNA from Gallus gallus (chicken), 4666 nucleotides. The record is from Ensembl. NCBI's taxonomy places the organism in Eukaryota, Metazoa, Chordata, Aves, Galliformes, Phasianidae.
CUGCCGCUUCAUAAACCUGAAGGAGAACCUGUGGGUAGCUCGUCUCUGCCUUCAGACAUGAUUAUUCAUCGUGCGGCGACACGGAGAGUUCUCUGGCAGGAGUCAGACGUUACCUCUGCAGGAAUGGGGACUGCUCGUGGGAGCUGACGUCAGCACUCAGUGCAGUGAGGGUGUCAUUCCUUGUGCAAGACGAUGCUAUGCUGAACCUUUCUAGCCUGGUCAAUUUGAAAAUGCAUUCAAACCCAGAUAGCGAAGGACCACAGGCAUCUCUUGUCUUGUAGCUGGAAACACAGCAAAGCUUUACAAAAUGGACAUACUGGUUUUCUUUUUUUCUGAAUGGUUGCACUUAAAUCAGAACUCAGUGAUGUGUGCAUCUGCCAACACCAAACAAUACACCGUUUGUAGGUUUCUGUUUUCACAUGUCUAGCAAGGUUUGUAUUGAUCAAAUUUCACACUCAUAACGUCAAAGAAGCCAGAUUAUUUCACUGGAAUAAAAAUCAGUGCUUACAGACUUGUUGGAAAUAUUUUUAAAUUACCUUUCUCUUUUUACUGGCAUACAAAUUUUAAAGGAAGGUACGUUGCUUGUUUCUUCACUGAUAGAUUCAGAGGCAGUAUGUAUGGUUAGUAAUAAUUGUUUGGCAAGCCAAGCUGACUCCAAUGUUUGUUUUCGCAAUCCUUUCUACUGAAACCAACAUUGCUUUUCAGUCAGCUCUGUAUCUUAAACACAAUGUGUUGUGCACACAGGGCAAGGUGUGCCCCAUGACCCUGCCAGUUAUUCUGUGCAUGAUCAUAUUGCACUUAUCUAUCGUGGGAGAUUUGAAAAGCUUUCUCUCUGGGCCAUUGGAGGAAACCUUGUACUUUUGUAGCCUGACCGUGACAGAAAUCUGUAAGAUGAGAAGGUUUGCCAUGCCUAAGGUUAGUUCUGCUGCAGUAAGUCUUCCCGACAUCCAACAAUGCCAGAGAAAGCAUAGUUUCUGUUUGUGGAGAUUAAUUACUAUUGUGAAGGCAACUAAAAAUGAAAAGUGUGGGGUUUAUGGCAGUUUUAUUUUUAUUGCUGCUAUUAGUAGCUUCAAUUGCAGUCUGUAAGUAAAGUGGUGAGUUCUCAGGGAAUUUGUCAAGAGCAAGGACUGGUAGGUUAGAUCAAAAUGUGGUUUGUAGGAAGGGGAAUAUGGAAAGCAUUUCCUGUUUUUCAGCUGGCAUGGAUCUGCUUGAGCAAGACAUACUCUGCUAAAUUCAUCAAGCUGUUGUCCCAGACCCUGUAACAUGUGGCUCCAGCAGUGCCUUUACUCAGUUCGUAGCCUGGUGGAAAUGUCACAUCUGCCAAUCCUUACCACACAAUACAAAUGAGAAAAUACUUAAUCUUCAUACUUUAUGUGAGACCUCCUGGCUCUUUCCUUGUUGAGGGUGAGGACCACUCUCACUUUCUAUUAAAAGAAGGAACCAUGCUACCAAUCCUGUUGUUAUAUAAACCAAAUGUUGUUAUAUAAAUAAUUAUUCUGAAAUAUUUCAGUUCUGGCAUUUUUUUCUGGUGAUUUAUGGUGUUUUUAACCAAAGCAAUGAACAGAAAUUAAUACAAAGCUGUAUUAAAUUUAGUCAGAAAAAAUCAUGCAGCUUUUCAGUGUUCUAUUUAUCCUGCUAGUGUAGAUUUUUCUUCAAAAUAUAUGGCUCAAAUCUGCCCAGUUCUGCUUAACUCCGUCUUUUUUUCUCUCUCAGUUCUCCUGCUCCUUGACUAGAACCCAUCCUGACACACAAGCCAGGGCAAAUGCUUUUCAUUGCACACCCCAUGCUAGCGCUAUUUGUGUUCCUGAAUGUGAUCACUAGAAGCUUGCUUUGUCUCUUACUGCGAGAUGCAUGUUGGCAUUUCUUUAGAAAACCUGUGAAUACCACAGAGGCUCAAGGUGGACUUAAAGAUGCUCAAGGUCACAAAACAGAUUUAACAGCGUGACUGUACUGUUCAAGCAUAAGCAUUGUAGCCCUUCAUUCAGAGUGAUUUUGCUGCAGAGCAAGUUGGGCUGAACGAACCACUGGAGGUUGUUUGCAUGGAACUGCAACCGCAGACAAGAAGAUGGUUCUCUGAGGGCAUUACCAGCAUUUUCCUUGAAACAUUUGCUUCUUCAUGGAAACUUCCAUCUAUUAGCUUAGCUUGUUAGUUGUAAAGCCCUAUGGUUUGCUAAUCUUCUUCCUUCCUUAGCUUUUCAUUUCUUCAAAGUAGUGGUUACAGACUGGAACCUGCAAAGUGCUGAGCGCUGUAUUCCACAUCAAGCAAAACUCUUAAUGUUAAUCAUGCUCUGAAAAAUGCUGCCAGAUUAGAGCUAAAUCUUUACACAUCCCCUGUAUCUCUCCAGCUGGGUGCCUUUUUCGUUCAUGUAAAAGCAUGGCUGUGCAGUUAAGGCACUGAGCUUGGGCUGAGGCAGUGCUAAGUCCACUUUAAUCUACUACAGCCUUCUUUAAUCAUGUCCUAAUUUACGAAAUAGAAAUGAUAAAUAUUUUGUCUUUCUGAUUCUAAACUCUUGGGAUGGCAUUUAUUUCUUAGCCUUAUAAGAACAUUAAGACCUUAUGCGGUGCUACAAAUGAAUUCUGUCUCUUAGAGGGCAGACAUCUAAGCCCUGGGCUGACUGGCGAGGAUUCCUGCCAUCCAGCUUCAGAGCAGGAAUGCCCUGGGAGGGCUUCUUGUCGUUGGCUCUGUGCUGUCUAAUUGCACAGCAAAUAGCAUUGGUGCUUCAGAUAACGUUUUAUUCAAAGCCUUUUAUUUCCAGUUAAAUAAAAGAAGAGUAUAUUUCAGAUUGUCUUCACGUGCCUUCAUGUGAAGAAAGGCAAUGUUUUAGACGUUUUGAAAUUCAAUUCAAGUAAUGAGCAUUCAUUAUAUCUACAUUUUAAAGUGCCAGUUUCCAGCAUCUGCCUAAGAGAAAGUAUAUCUCACUUUUUCUCUCUACCUUUGUUAGUAAUUAUCAUAAUCACAGGGUAACAUCUCAUUUUUUGCAGUUUUGUGUAUUCUCUGAACAAUUCUUACCCGAUUGAGCUUACUGUCCCUGUCUCAUUUAUUUAAUUAAACAUUAAGUCAUUGAACUUUUAGUAUGCCAAGAUUACUAAUGUGGCAAAAUAGUAAUCCAUUAAACAUCCAGACAGUAAAUCUACCACCUACCUCUUUUGACGAGGUUAUAGUAUGCCAUACAAUUAAUUAUUUGAAGCUUGAAAACAAUUUCUGCGAAGUGCAAAAUGGAACUAUUACAUCUCCAUUAAAAGAAGAAAAGUAAUAACUUCUAAAGGUUUAAAAAACCUUUAAGCAAUAUCUGAUGUAUGUCGCUGCUACACAACACCUCCUGUGAAACAUUUCUUGCUUGUAAAGGCAAGAUCAUACCUACUGUUCUGAUAACAGUGAUUUACUGUGCUGUCUGUUUGUCCAUCAGUGCAUCUAUCUGUGAGUUAGCACGUUCCUAAAGCUCUUCACAAAGUUGACUUCCUUUUUCAAGCCAAGAGGUAGAGGUCUAAUAAGCAUCAUAGGAAGCAGCGCACUGCUAAACUGAUGAUGGGUGGAUGAGGGCCGAAGAGUGGCUCUGAAUUAACUUCCUGCUGGCUGAUGUUUCUGGAGGCACUUUCUCAACCACAGCAGAAGUCCGUCGUAAUAGUCAUAGAAUUACAGAUUCAUUAGGAUUGGAAAAGACCACUUCAGAUCAUCGAGUCCAGCCACCAACCCACCACCAUCAUGCCCAUUAUCCAUGUCACUCAGUGCCACAUCUACAUGUUUCUUAAACAUCUCCAGGGAUGGUGACUCCACCACCACUCUGGCAGCCUGUUCCAAUAAGCAUUCCCAAGUGCAUCAUUUUGUAUUUUCUUAUGGUUUUACUGGCCACACUUCAGCUGUUGUCCUCUUUGUGUUAUGCACUUUUGUGCUUAUGUGGCUCUGGUGUUAUCAGAGGAGUAAGACUUUGUUGGUAGUAUUUGAAAAUAUAGUUAGAAAUACUCAACCACUGGAAAAGUUAGGACAAAUCUUGUGAGCAAUAUUGUUAUUUGAAAAGAAUCCCACGAGGCUUUCCUUGGCUGUUUGCCUGUUCAUAGAAAUUAUUACAUGUAUAUGAUAUAGACAUCCAUAAAUACCAGUGAAUAAGUGGGUGAUUAAAAUGAUAAAAUCGUUAUAAAGGUUAUUCAAAUUAUAAAAUCAUUUAUAUUAAGUUACAUAAAUAAAUACUGUUGCAGUCAGAAAGUGAAAAGACUCUUCAUUCAUUUUUCCUGUAAUUCACUUCAGGCUCCAUAAAGAUCCUGAAGGAGAAAAUGCCUUCUUUUAUUUUGCUAAUACCAGUUUGGCCUUUCUGUGAGGGUUUUACAAAGCUAAAGGAGUCACUUCAGUCUAUUGUAAUCCCCUUUUUGUUUCAGAGAAUAUAUCCCAGAUUCUCUGUUCUUUAAGUAUCCAGUAAGACUCUUCUUGUUUGUUUUCAAAGGAAGCGUCCAUAAACCAUUUGAAAACAACAUAAUUAAGGUCCGAGCUGCCUGUGACAUCUCUCACAUGCGUGCCCAGCUGUUCUGUUGGUUUUGCUUGUUAUCAUCCAUCACCAGAUGAUAAAAGAAUAAUUCUGGAGAUACUGAUUGCUUAAUUAAUUGGAGUUCUUUUUUUGUUGUUGUUGCUUUUCUAAGGCUCCUGUUUGUAAUUGUAAUGAAGCAAUAAUAUAAU